Oncorhynchus tshawytscha (Chinook salmon) is the source of this 372-nucleotide long non-coding RNA. The record is from Ensembl. NCBI's taxonomy places the organism in Eukaryota, Metazoa, Chordata, Actinopteri, Salmoniformes, Salmonidae.
CUGAGGGGUGACCAGUCCUCUACUGGCUGUAGUGGGUAGACCAGAGGAACCAGGCUCUGAGGGGUGACCAGUCCUCUACUGGCUGUACUGGGUAGAGAGGAACCAGGCUCUGAGGGGUGACUAGUCCUCUACUGGCUGUAGUGGGUAGACCAGAGGAACCAGGCUCUGAGGGGUGACCAGUCAUCUAAUGGGUGUACUGGGUAGACCAGAGGAACCAGGCUCUGAGGGGUGACCAGUCCUCUACUGGCUGUACUGGGUAGAGAGGAACCAGGCUCUGAGGGGUGACCAGUCCUCCACUGGCUGUACUGGGUAGACCAGAGGAACCAGGCUCUGAGGGGUAUCUGCUGUGUACUAUCAUCUGUGUGUGUGUGU